Coregonus clupeaformis (lake whitefish) is the source of this 441-nucleotide long non-coding RNA. RefSeq lists it as uncharacterized. The record is from RefSeq and is a predicted model, not a curated record. The transcript has 3 exons. NCBI's taxonomy places the organism in Eukaryota, Metazoa, Chordata, Actinopteri, Salmoniformes, Salmonidae.
UGACAGUUGAUGCAAGACUCAAAAAUGACCUGGAGGAUUUACAAACUGUUUUUUCAACUUGAGUUGCCCAUGGUGUCCAUGUGGGAUCAGAAAGAGGGGAAGGGAUCAUGUCAAAUGUCUCAACCCCGAUGAUAGUUUAGCCAUCACCAUCCGAUUAUAUUAAGAUGUUUCAAGACAUGUUGAGACAUAAAGUUGAUCUACUCUAACAGCUGGCUGCAAUUCUCAUCUUUUCUGUGCAGUUUUAUUUAAUAGAGGAUACAUUAAUUCUGAUUCAUUCUAUUUUCAGACUGGACAUAGAAUAAAGCGGGGGUCCUUUCUGGUGUUAAACAUUAAGUCCUCAUGUAUGGUUGGGCUUUAGAUUAAGCAAGAGCAGCUCUGAGAUCCCCAAACAAGAGAUGACUAGCUGGCUGUAAAGACUAGAAGAUAGGAGUUGUUUGGAAC